This 478-nucleotide ribosomal RNA is filed under the name Cryptosporidium sp. rat genotype III. RNAcentral's name for it is "SSU rRNA". It matches the Rfam family "Eukaryotic small subunit ribosomal RNA", at positions 369 to 874 of the family's 1831-position model. Lineage: Eukaryota; Apicomplexa; Conoidasida; Eucoccidiorida; Cryptosporidiidae. The record is from RNAcentral.
AUUAGGGUUCGAUUCCGGAGAGGGAGCCUGAGAAACGGCUACCACAUCUAAGGAAGGCAGCAGGCGCGCAAAUUACCCAAUCCUAAUACAGGGAGGUAGUGACAAGAAAUAACAAUACAGGACCUUUAAUGGUUUUGCAAUUGGAAUGAGUUAAGUAUAAACCCCUUUACAAGUAUCAAUUGGAGGGCAAGUCUGGUGCCAGCAGCCGCGGUAAUUCCAGCUCCAAUAGCGUAUAUUAAAGUUGUUGCAGUUAAAAAGCUCGUAGUUGGAUUUCUGUUAAUUACUUUAUAUAAUUUUACACUUUCGUGUAGUUAUAUAGUAUUAACAUAAUUCAUAUUACUAUUUUAGUAUAUGAAAUUUUACUUUGAGAAAAUUAGAGUGCUUAAAGCAGGCUUUUGCCUUGAAUACUUCAGCAUGGAAUAAUAAUUAAAGAUUUUUAUCUUUCUUAUUGGUUCUAAGAUAAAAAUAAUGAUUAAUA